This 253-nucleotide ribosomal RNA is filed under the name uncultured bacterium. RNAcentral describes it as "partial 16S ribosomal RNA". It matches the Rfam family "Bacterial small subunit ribosomal RNA", at positions 524 to 776 of the family's 1533-position model. The record is from RNAcentral.
UACGUAGGGGGCAAGCGUUGUCCGGAAUCAUUGGGCGUAAAGAGCGUGUAGGCGGCCUGGUAAGUCCGCUGUGAAAGUCCAGGGCUCAACCCUGGAAUGCCGGUGGAAACUGUCAGGCUCGAGUCCGGAAGAGGCGAGUGGAAUUCCUGGUGUAGCGGUGAAAUGCGCAGAUAUCAGGAGGAACACCGGUGGCGAAGGCGGGUCUCUGGGCCGAUACUGACGCUGAGGAGCGAAAGCGUGGGGAGCGAACGGG